UCAACAGCUUUGACGGGAAGAAGUAAGCAAAAAAGGAUGCCAAGAGAGCUUUCGGUCGGUGUGAGAAAGCGUGAGAGUUUUGCCCAAAUACAUCCCCGAGCUGCGCAGUUGAAAUUUUCAGUAGGCUGCGCCGUGUGCGUGCGUUAAGCGUCAGAGUAUGUAUGUACUCGCUGAGGCCGUUCCCGUGAGGGCUCGGUGAACAGAGGUGGUAACACGAUAUUUUCGUCCUCUGC
RNAcentral lists this non-coding RNA (233 nucleotides) under Ruminococcus sp. RNAcentral's name for it is "T-box sequence". It matches the Rfam family "T-box leader". From Rfam's summary of the family: Uncharged tRNA acts as the effector for transcription antitermination of genes in the T-box leader family. T-boxes are found upstream of many aminoacyl-tRNA synthetase genes and some amino acid biosynthetic genes usually in Gram-positive bacteria. The record is from RNAcentral. Lineage: Bacteria; Bacillati; Bacillota; Clostridia; Eubacteriales; Oscillospiraceae.